Molecule: ribosomal RNA, 434 nt
Filed under: Botrytis sp. CID93
Lineage: Eukaryota; Fungi; Ascomycota; Leotiomycetes; Helotiales; Sclerotiniaceae
Description: eukaryotic LSU rRNA
Rfam family: 5.8S ribosomal RNA (bases 72-226)
Source: RNAcentral
GCCUUGUAUGUUCGCCAGAGAAUAUCAAAACUCUUUUUAUUAAUGUCGUCUGAGUACUAUAUAAUAGUUAAAACUUUCAACAACGGAUCUUUCUGGUUCUGGCAUCGAUGAAGAACGCAGCGAAAUGCGAUAAGUAAUGUGAAUUGCAGAAUUCAGUGAAUCAUCGAAUCUUUGAACGCACAUUGCGCCCCUUGGUAUUCCGGGGGGCAUGCCUGUUCGAGCGUCAUUUCAACCCUCAAGCUUAGCUUGGUAUUGAGUCUAUGUCAGUAAUGGCAGGCUCUAAAAUCAGUGGCGGCGCCGCUGGGUCCUGAACGUAGUAAUAUCUCUCGUUACAGGUUCUCGGUGUGCUUCUGCCAAAACCCAAAUUUUUCUAUGGUUGACCUCGGAUCAGGUAGGGAUACCCGCUGAACUUAAGCAUAUCAAUAAGCGGAGGA